CCUGGCUCAGGAUGAACGCUAGCGGCAGGCUUAACACAUGCAAGUCGAACGGUAACAUUCUCUGCUUGCAGAGAGAUGACGAGUGGCGCACGGGUGCGUAACGCGUAUGCAACCUACCUAUAACAGGGGGAUAGCCCAGAGAAAUUUGGAUUAAUACCCCAUAAUACAUGAGAAUCGCAUGGUUUUCAUGUUAAAGCUUCGGUGGUUAUAGAUGGGCAUGCGUGACAUUAGCUAGUUGGUAAGGUAACGGCUUAUCAAGGCAACGAUGUCUAGGGGUUCUGAGAGGAUUAUCCCCCACACUGGUACUGAGACACGGACCAGACUCCUACGGGAGGCAGCAGUGAGGAAUAUUGGGCAAUGGACGCAAGUCUGACCCACCCCUGCCGCGUGUAGGAAGACGGCCUUAUGGGUUGUAAACUACUUUUAUAUAAGAAGAAACGCUUCUACGUGUAGAAGUCUGACGGUAUUAUAUGAAUAAGCACCGGCUAACUCCGUGCCAGCAGCCGCGGUAAUACGGAGGGUGCAAGCGUUAUCCGGAUUCAUUGGGUUUAAAGGGUGCGUAGGCGGAUGACUAAGUCAGUGGUGAAAUCCUACAGCUCAACUGUGGAACUGCCAUUGAUACUGGUUGUCUAGAAUUUAGUUGAAGUGGGCGGAAUAUAGCAUGUAGCGGUGAAAUGCAUAGAUAUGUUAUAGAACACCGAUAGCGAAGGCAGCUCACUAAGUUAACAUUGACGCUGAUGCACGAAAGCGUGGGUAGCGAACAGGAUUAGAUACCCUGGUAGUCCACGCAGUAAACGAUGAUUACUCGUUGUUGGCGAUACACAGUCAGCGACUGAGCGAAAGCAUUAAGUAAUCCACCUGGGGAGUACGAUCGCAAGGUUGAAACUCAAAGGAAUUGACGGGGGCCCGCACAAGCGGUGGAGCAUGUGGUUUAAUUCGAUGAUACGCGAGGAACCUUACCAGGGCUUAAAUGUAGUUUGACAGGACUGGAAACAGUUUUUUCUUCGGACAGAUUACAAGGUGCUGCAUGGUUGUCGUCAGCUCGUGCUGUGAAGUGUCGGGUUAAGUCCCAUAACGAGCGCAACCCCUAUCUUUAGUUGCCAGCGGAUCAUGCCGGGGACUCUAAAGAAACUGCCAGCGCAAGCUGUGAGGAAGGUGGGGAUGACGUCAAAUCAUCACGGCCCUUACGUCCUGGGCCACACACGUGCUACAAUGGUAGGUACAGAGGGCAGCUACCUGGUGACAGGAUGCGAAUCUCAAAAGCCUAUCUCAGUUCGGAUCGUAGUCUGCAACUCGACUACGUGAAGCUGGAAUCGCUAGUAAUCGCGCAUCAGCCAUGGCGCGGUGAAUACGUUCCCGGGCCUUGUACACACCGCCCGUCAAGCCAUGGAAGCUGGGGGUACCUGAAGUUGGUGACCGUAAAAGGAGCUACCUAGGGUAAAACUGGUAACUGGGGCUAAGUCGUAACA
This 1469-nucleotide ribosomal RNA is filed under the name uncultured bacterium. RNAcentral's name for it is "bacterial SSU rRNA". It matches the Rfam family "Bacterial small subunit ribosomal RNA". The record is from RNAcentral.